Molecule: ribosomal RNA, 2249 nt
Filed under: Listeria monocytogenes
Lineage: Bacteria; Bacillati; Bacillota; Bacilli; Caryophanales; Listeriaceae
Description: partial 23S ribosomal RNA
Rfam family: Bacterial large subunit ribosomal RNA
Source: RNAcentral
UUGGUUAAGUUAGAAAGGGCGCACGGUGGAUGCCUUGGCACUAGGAGCCGAAGAAGGACGGGACUAACACCGAUAUGCUUUGGGGAGCUGUACGUAAGCGUUGAUCCAGAGAUUUCCGAAUGGGGGAACCCACUAUCUUUAGUCGGAUAGUAUCCUUACGUGAAUACAUAGCGUGAGGAAGGCAGACCCAGGGAACUGAAACAUCUAAGUACCUGGAGGAAGAGAAAGAAAAAUCGAUUUCCUGAGUAGCGGCGAGCGAAACGGAAAGAGCCCAAACCAAGAAGCUUGCUUCUUGGGGUUGUAGGACACUCUAUACGGAGUUACAAAAGAAAGUUAUAAAUGAAGCGGUCUGGAAAGGCCCGCCAAAGACGGUAACAGCCCGGUAGUUGAAAUGGCUUUCCCUCCAGAGUGGAUCCUGAGUACGGCGGAACACGUGAAAUUCCGUCGGAAUCCGGGAGGACCAUCUCCCAAGGCUAAAUACUCCCUAGUGACCGAUAGUGAACCAGUACCGUGAGGGAAAGGUGAAAAGCACCCCGGAAGGGGAGUGAAACAGUUCCUGAAACCGUGUGCCUACAAGUAGUUAGAGCCCGUUAAUGGGUGAUAGCGUGCCUUUUGUAGAAUGAACCGGCGAGUUACGAUUUGUUGCAAGGUUAAGCGGAAAAAGCGGAGCCGUAGCGAAAGCGAGUCUGAAUAGGGCGCAUAAGUAACAGGUCGUAGACCCGAAACCAGGUGAUCUACCCAUGUCCAGGAUGAAGGUAAGGUAAUACUUACUGGAGGUCCGAACCCACGCACGUUGAAAAGUGCGGGGAUGAGGUGUGGGUAGCGGAGAAAUUCCAAUCGAACUUGGAGAUAGCUGGUUCUCUCCGAAAUAGCUUUAGGGCUAGCCUCGAGGUAAAGAGUCAUGGAGGUAGAGCACUGUUUGGACUAGGGGCCCUUCUCGGGUUACCGAAUUCAGAUAAACUCCGAAUGCCAUGUACUUAUACUCGGGAGUCAGACUGCGAGUGAUAAGAUCCGUAGUCGAAAGGGAAACAGCCCAGACCACCAGUUAAGGUCCCCAAAUAUAUGUUAAGUGGAAAAGGAUGUGGGGUUGCUUAGACAACCAGGAUGUUGGCUUAGAAGCAGCCACCAUUGAAAGAGUGCGUAAUAGCUCACUGGUCGAGUGACCCCGCGCCGAAAAUGUACCGGGGCUAAACAUAUUACCGAAACUGUGGAUGAACCUCUUUAGAGGUUCGUGGUAGGAGAGCGUUCUAAGGGCGGUGAAGUCAGACCGGAAGGACUGGUGGAGCGCUUAGAAGUGAGAAUGCCGGUAUGAGUAGCGAAAGAAGGGUGAGAAUCCCUUCCACCGAAUAUCUAAGGUUUCCUGAGGAAGGCUCGUCCGCUCAGGGUUAGUCGGGACCUAAGCCGAGGCCGAUAGGCGUAGGCGAUGGACAACAGGUAGAGAUUCCUGUACCAGUGCUAAUUGUUUAACCGAUGGGGUGACACAGAAGGAUAGGGAAUCGCACGAAUGGAAAUGUGCGUCCAAGCAGUGAGUGUGAGAAGUAGGCAAAUCCGCUUCUCGCGAAGCAUGAGCUGUGAUGGGGAAGGAAAUUAAGUACGGAAGUUCCUGAUUUCACGCUGUCAAGAAAAGCCUCUAGGAAGAGUAGUACUGCCCGUACCGCAAACCGACACAGGUAGAUGAGGAGAGAAUCCUAAGGUGAGCGAGAGAACUCUCGUUAAGGAACUCGGCAAAAUGACCCCGUAACUUCGGGAGAAGGGGUGCUCUAUUAGGGUGCAAGCCCGAGAGAGCCGCAGUGAAUAGGCCCAGGCGACUGUUUAGCAAAAACACAGGUCUCUGCAAAACCGUAAGGUGACGUAUAGGGGCUGACGCCUGCCCGGUGCUGGAAGGUUAAGAGGAGUGCUUAGCUUCGGCGAAGGUACGAAUUGAAGCCCCAGUAAACGGCGGCCGUAACUAUAACGGUCCUAAGGUAGCGAAAUUCCUUGUCGGGUAAGUUCCGACCCGCACGAAAGGCGCAACGAUCUGGGCACUGUCUCAACGAGAGACUCGGUGAAAUUAUAGUACCUGUGAAGAUGCAGGUUACCCGCGACAGGACGGAAAGACCCCGUGGAGCUUUACUGCAACCUGAUAUGGAAUGUUUGUACCGCUUGUACAGGAUAGGUAGGAGCCGAAGAGACGUGUGCGCUAGCAUACGAGGAGGCAAUGGUGGGAUACUACCCUGGCUGUAUGACCAUUCUAACCCGCCACGCUUAGC